This 77-nucleotide transfer RNA is filed under the name Acidobacteria bacterium 13_1_40CM_4_58_4. Its description in RNAcentral is "tRNA-Pro". It matches the Rfam family "tRNA". From Rfam's summary of the family: Transfer RNA (tRNA) molecules are approximately 80 nucleotides in length. Their secondary structure includes four short double-helical elements and three loops (D, anti-codon, and T loops). Further hydrogen bonds mediate the characteristic L-shaped molecular structure. tRNAs have two regions of fundamental functional importance: the anti-codon, which is responsible for specific mRNA codon recognition, and the 3' end, to which the tRNAs corresponding amino acid is attached (by aminoacyl-tRNA synthetases). tRNAs cope with the degeneracy of the genetic code in two manners: having more than one tRNA (with a specific anti-codon) for a particular amino acid; and 'wobble' base-pairing, i.e. permitting non-standard base-pairing at the 3rd anti-codon position. The record is from RNAcentral. RNAcentral also lists the same sequence under 25 other names. Lineage: Bacteria; Pseudomonadati; Acidobacteriota.
CGGGGCGUAGCGCAGCCUGGUAGCGCACCUGCCUUGGGCGCAGGGGGUCGGAGGUUCAAAUCCUCUCGCCCCGACCA